UCUAACGAUUGAUCUAGUUACUUAGAAAAAUGAGAAACCAAAUAAAAAUAAAAAGGAAUUUGAGAAAAAUAAAAUUUAAAUUGUAUGAAAAAUAAUGAUUGAAUACAAUAGAGUCUUAACAAAAAUUAGUGCCAGCAGUUGCGGUUAAACUAAGAAGACAAACGUUAAUCAUUAUGGCUUAAAGGAUCCGUAGAACAAUUAAUAAAUAAAAUUAAUUAGAGUUUAAAAAUGUUAAAAGAAGUGUUAUGGUAGAGAUUAAAUAUAAUAAUCAUAAAAAGACUACUAAUGUGAAGAUAUUUAACUUGAAUAAACUGACGUUGAGAGGAUGAAGGCGUAAGCGAUAAAAUGGAUUAGAUACCCAUUUAAUUUAUGCAGUAAACUAUGAAUACUAAUUGAUUAUUUAAAUAAGAUAUAUUAUCUUUUUUAUUAAUUUAUAAAGUGAAAACGUAAGUAUUCCGCCAGGUGAG
This 467-nucleotide ribosomal RNA is filed under the name Nakazawaea populi. RNAcentral describes it as "partial small subunit ribosomal RNA". The stretch from base 176 to 460 matches the Rfam family "Bacterial small subunit ribosomal RNA", at positions 557 to 873 of the family's 1533-position model. Lineage: Eukaryota; Fungi; Ascomycota; Pichiomycetes; Alaninales; Pachysolenaceae. The record is from RNAcentral.